GGCAAGACACAAAAAUGUAUCUGCAGAAAAAACAUCCAGGAGAAUUGAAAUUGGAUGGCUUCACUUCGGCCGUAAUGGAUAUCAACAAGUGAGGACCAAUAAUGGUGGUGGCACUAGGCAUUUGACAGUUCAAAAAAAGACAACUGUUUUACAAAUAAUGGAAAUGGGAAAGGACUUUUUUUUCCCAAAUGGAGAGUCACCAAAAGAUCCAGAAACAGACUUCACCUUUCAUGUUUGUGAUUUUAAAAGAAACCACAUUCCCAUGGACAGCACUGUUGGAGAUCUGCAUGAACUAACCAAACUGAAAUUGUUGAGAUUUUACAGAGACCUACUGCAAAAGUGUCUUGGCAUGGACAUGAAAGUGAUCUUGAGGAUAUAAGCACACAUUUAUUGGAUGACAGACUUUCAUAUAACAAAGACACCAAGAGGAAGAGAAAAGUAAGGACAGAAGCCCAGAGUACAACAGGAAAGUGGUUAUACCUUAGAGACAACCAGCACAUCACACGACUCUCUUUCAACACCCAGAGAUAUCCAAAGAACACACACCAUCCAAAGACUUGCAAGCAGCUCAAGUGAUGAGGAGACUGAUAAAUUGGGGAGACAGUGUGCACAGCUAUCGAAAAGACCACAGCAUACACAUGAGCUCUUUGAUUUUCAGAUAAGCUAUGAAAUCAUUGACUUGCCCAAUCAGAUUCCUCCGGUACACAACAGCAUAGUUCAAAAUCUUGGAGAUGAUGAUGAUAAAGAAGACAAAGUUGAAUGGAAUGAAGGCGAAGAACUUGAACAAACAGAUGAGGACCAAGAUGUUAAAAUAACAUGGAAUGAGAACAUCAUACAGCACUGUUGUACUGUGGCACAAAUAAAGGAGGGGGCACGUGCGCUCUCUCUGUCCGACGGCGCCGCUCAACUAUGUUCUGAGACAGGGUAAGCUCAUUCCGUAAAGGAGUAUUUUUGUUUUUUACCACUUUUUAAUAAUUUAAAAUUUAGGGAUUAUAAUUUGAAAAUCAUUUUAACCCUAACAAAACAUUGACCGUGUCUCAUUGUGAUCACUGAUUCAGAGAGAGUCCGACAGAUGGAGCUGCGAGCCCGUUUCUCACAAAG
Carassius auratus (goldfish) is the source of this 1101-nucleotide long non-coding RNA. RefSeq lists it as uncharacterized. The record is from RefSeq and is a predicted model, not a curated record. The transcript is spliced from 3 exons. NCBI's taxonomy places the organism in Eukaryota, Metazoa, Chordata, Actinopteri, Cypriniformes, Cyprinidae.